CCUACGGGUGGCAGCAGUGAGGAAUAUUGGUCAAUGGGCGCGAGCCUGAACCAGCCAAGUCGCGUGAGGGAUUACUGCCCUACGGGUUGUAAACUUCUUUUAUAAAGGAGUAAGGUCAGGCACGUGUGCCUUUUUGUAUGUACUUUGUGAAUAAAGAUCGGCUAACUCCGGGCCAGCCGCCGCGGUAAUACGGAGGGUCCGAGCGGUAUCCGGAUUUAUUGGGUUUAAAGGGAUCGUAGAUGGGUUGUUAAGUCAGGUGUGAAAGUUUGCGGCUCAACCGUAAAAUUGCAAUUGAUACUGGCAGUCUUGAGUACAGUUGAGGUAGGCGGAAUGCGUGGUGUAGCGGUGAAAUGCAGAGAUAUCACGAAGAACUCCGAUUGCGAAGGCAGCUUACUAACCUGCCACUGACAUUGAGGCACGAAAGUGUGGGUAUCAAACAGGAUUAGAUACCCUUGUAGUC
RNAcentral lists this ribosomal RNA (460 nucleotides) under uncultured bacterium. Its description in RNAcentral is "partial 16S ribosomal RNA". It matches the Rfam family "Bacterial small subunit ribosomal RNA", at positions 338 to 795 of the family's 1533-position model. The record is from RNAcentral.